CUUGUUCGACAAAACUUUCUUGCUCCGGAUGCAGAAGCCAUGUUAAACAUACCAUUGCGCACCGGAGGGGGGAACGAUUUCUUUGCUUGGGCUUUUGAAAACUCAGGUGUGUACAUUGACAAGUCGGCGUACCGUGCUCUCGUGAAUCAGAAAGAGCGUCAUGCUCUAGAGGAAGGGACGGCUACCGGUGCCUUAAAAUUAGAACAACAGAUGUGGACAUCUCUGUGGAAGCUCAAAGUUGUGCCUAAGGUCAGAGUCUUCUGGUGGAGAGUUCUUCGCGGGAUCCUCCCUGACGAAGAAACCCUUAAACACAAACAUAUCAAACCUCUUAGCCUAUGCAAUGUUUGCCUGGCCAAAGAGGAGGAUCGUAUGCAUGCAUUGGUGUCCUGUUCCCAUGCACGCAGAUUUUGGGAUGAAGCUCAAACCUGGUUCGAUCUCCGACUCCCACGCUUACAUCCAGCCACCUGGGCGCGCGACAUCUUAUGUGAUGAUCGUUUCUAG
Molecule: ribosomal RNA, 501 nt
Filed under: Triticum aestivum (bread wheat)
Lineage: Eukaryota; Viridiplantae; Streptophyta; Magnoliopsida; Poales; Poaceae
Description: partial small subunit ribosomal RNA
Source: RNAcentral